This 749-nucleotide ribosomal RNA is filed under the name uncultured Peptoniphilus sp. RNAcentral's name for it is "bacterial SSU rRNA". It matches the Rfam family "Bacterial small subunit ribosomal RNA", at positions 28 to 776 of the family's 1533-position model. Lineage: Bacteria; Bacillati; Bacillota; Tissierellia; Tissierellales; Peptoniphilaceae. The record is from RNAcentral.
GACGAACGCUGGCGGCGCGCUUAACACAUGCAAGUCGAGCGAUGAAAUCUUGACAGAACCCUUCGGGGUGAAGAUAAGAUGGAUUAGCGGCGGACGGGUGAGUAACACGUGAGUAACCUGCCUUAGACAUUGGGAUAGCCUCGGGAAACCGGGAUUAAUACCAAAUGAAAUCACAUAUGCACAUGCAUAAAUGAUCAAAGCUCCAGCGGUCUAAGAUGGACUCGCGUCCCAUUAGCUAGUUGGUGAGGUAACGGCCCACCAAGGCGACGAUGGGUAGCCGGCCUGAGAGGGUGAACGGCCACAUUGGAACUGAGAAACGGUCCAAACUCCUACGGGAGGCAGCAGUGGGGAAUAUUGCACAAUGGAGGGAACUCUGAUGCAGCGACGCCGCGUGAACGAAGAAGGCUUUCGAGUCGUAAAGUUCUUUUAUAUGGGAAGAUAAUGACGGUACCAUAAGAAAAAGCCCCGGCUAACUACGUGCCAGCAGCCGCGGUAAUACGUAGGGGGCUAGCGUUGUCCGGAAUCACUGGGCGUAAAGGGUUCGCAGGCGGAAAUGCAAGUCAGGUGUAAAAGGCAGUAGCUUAACUACUGUAAGCAUUUGAAACUGCAUAUCUUGAGAAGAGUAGAGGUAAGUGGAAUUUUUAGUGUAGCGGUGAAAUGCGUAGAUAUUAAAAAGAAUACCGGUGGCGAAGGCGACUUACUGGGGCUCAUUCUGACGCUGAGGAACGAAAGCGUGGGUAGCAAACAGG